CCUACGGUGAGCAGCAGUCGAGAAUCAUUCACAAUGGGGGAGAUCCUGAACCAGCCAAGCCGCGUGAGGGAAGACGGCCCUAUGGGUUGUAAACCUCUUUUGUCGGAGAACAAAACCCGGGACGUGUCCCGGACUGCGUGUAUCCGAAGAAAAAGCAUCGGCUAACUCCGUGCCAGCAGCCGCGGUAAUACGGAGGAUGCGAGCGUUAUCCGGAUUUAUUGGGUUAAAAGGGUGCGUAGGCGGUCCGUUAAGUCAGCGGUAAAAUUGCGGGGCUCAACCCCGUCGAGCCGUUGAAACUGGCAGACUUGAGUUGGCGAGAAGUACGCGGAAUGCGCGGUGUAGCGGUGAAAUGCAUAGAUAUCGCGCAGAACUCCGAUUGCGAAGGCAGCGUACCGGCGCCAGACUGACGCUGAGGCACGAAAGCGUGGGGAUCGAACAGGAUUAGAUACCCGGGUAGUC
RNAcentral lists this ribosomal RNA (459 nucleotides) under uncultured bacterium. Its description in RNAcentral is "partial 16S ribosomal RNA". It matches the Rfam family "Bacterial small subunit ribosomal RNA", at positions 338 to 795 of the family's 1533-position model. The record is from RNAcentral.